AUUGAACGCUAGCGGGAUGCUUUACACAUGCAAGUCGAACGAGUGUCGGACGGGUGAGUAAUGUAUCUGCACGUGCCCAAUGGCGGGGGAUAACUACUCGAAAGGGUGGCUAAUACCGCAUACUAUUGGCGCGGCCCAUCUCGGCUUAGCUAGUUGGUGGGGUAAAGGCUCACCAAGGCCACGAUCCGUAGCUGGUUUGAGAGGAAGACCAGCCACACUGGGACUGAGACACGGUCCAGACUCCUACGGGAGGCAGCAGUGGGGAAUGUUGGACAAUGGGGGAAAGCCUGAUGCAGCCAUGCCGCGUGUAUGAGAAGGCCUUCGGGUUGUAAAGUACUUUUGGCAGAGAAGCGUUACCUGCAGAAGAAGCACCGGCUAACUACGUGCCAGCCGCCGCGGUAAUUC
This 405-nucleotide ribosomal RNA is filed under the name uncultured bacterium. Its description in RNAcentral is "partial 16S ribosomal RNA". It matches the Rfam family "Bacterial small subunit ribosomal RNA", at positions 30 to 526 of the family's 1533-position model. The record is from RNAcentral.